This 234-nucleotide long non-coding RNA is filed under the name Helianthus annuus (common sunflower). RNAcentral's name for it is "hypothetical non coding rna". The stretch from base 145 to 234 matches the Rfam family "Small nucleolar RNA Z159/U59". Lineage: Eukaryota; Viridiplantae; Streptophyta; Magnoliopsida; Asterales; Asteraceae. The record is from RNAcentral.
AUCUCUUAUGAUGAUUCAAAAUUAAUAACUUUCGUUCUUCUGAGAUUUUUCGUGCUGAAAGUUUUUUGGAGACCUGAACUGAAGAGAUUCGCUUAAAUUGUUUAUCAUAUAGUAUUCUGUUUAAUUCAAUUAUUGUUUUUGAAUGCUUCUGAUGAUGAUUCAAAUAAUACUUUCGUUCUUCCGAGGAUCUAAAUCCAUGCGGAAACAAUUAUUGGAGACCUGAACUGAAGAAGC